UUCGCAAUGCCCGAAAGGGUGACGAAGCGACGCCGCGUGAGUGAGGAAGGCCUUCGGGUUGUAAAGCUCUGUCAGGAGUUAAGAAAUAUAAGUGUGCUAAUACCACAUUUAUUUGACGAAGGCUCCAAAGGAAGCCACGGCUAACUCUGUGCCAGCAGCCGCGGUAAUACAGAGGUGGCAAGCGUUGUUCGGAAUUAUUGGGCGUAAAGAGCACGUAGGUGGGUUUGUAAGUCAGAUGUGAAAGCCUUCUGUUCAACGGAAGAAUUGCAUCUGAAACUGCGAGUCUUGAGUGUAGGAGGGGAGAGUGGAACUUCUGGUGGAGCGGUGAAAUGCGUAGAUAUCAGAAGGAACGCCGGCGGCGAAAGCGACUCUCUGGCCUAUUACUGACACUCAGUGUGCGAAAGCUAGGGGAGCAAACGGGAUUAGAUACCCCGGUAGUCCUAGCCGUAAACGAUGGGCACUAA
RNAcentral lists this ribosomal RNA (464 nucleotides) under uncultured Planctomycetota bacterium. RNAcentral's name for it is "bacterial SSU rRNA". It matches the Rfam family "Bacterial small subunit ribosomal RNA", at positions 365 to 819 of the family's 1533-position model. The record is from RNAcentral. Lineage: Bacteria; Pseudomonadati; Planctomycetota.